AUUGAACGCUGGCGGCAGGCCUAACACAUGCAAGUCGAGCGGAUGAAGGGAGCUUGCUCCUGGAUUCAGCGGCGGACGGGUGAGUAAUGCCUAGGAAUCUGCCUGGUCGUGGGGGAUAACGUCCUGAAACGGGCGCUAAUACCGCAUACGUCCUGAGGUCGAAAGUGGGUGAUCUUCGGACCUCACGCUACCAUAUGAUCCUAGGUCGGAUUAGCUAGUUGGUGGGGUAAAGGCCUACCAAGGCGACGAUCCGUAACUGGUCUGAGAGGAUGAUCAGUCACACUGGAACUGAGACACGGUCCAGACUCCUACGGGAGGCAGCAGUGGGGAAUAUUGGACAAUGGGCGAAAGCCUGAUCCAGCCAUGCCGCGUGUGUGAAGAAGGUCUUCGGAUUGUAAAGCACUUUAAGUUGGGAGGAAGGGCAGUAAGUUAAUACCUUGCUGUUUUGACGGUACCAACAGAAUAAGCACCGGCUAACUUCGUG
Molecule: ribosomal RNA, 484 nt
Filed under: uncultured bacterium
Lineage: Bacteria
Description: partial 16S ribosomal RNA
Rfam family: Bacterial small subunit ribosomal RNA
Source: RNAcentral